AUGACACUCCAUUCUUUCCUCUCAAGGGUGACCACAGAAGUAAACGAGCCCAGGGCUACACUGGAUCCAUGCCUGUCACCUCCACCAGCAGCCCAGUACCCUUCAAGGUACAGAGUGAAAAGAGACUAUUCUCAGAAAGAGAGACUUAGAAGAUCUAAUGAAGGUCCAGUGGGGAAUACAUUUGGGAAGGCGCUCCAAACUUGGCUCUGGAGGCUCCUCUGGCAGGGGGAGGCCACCUCUCAGCUGCCCACACCUUCUGGAGUCCAAAUCUCAGGCCAGAGAUGGGCUGGCCUCCCAAGCUUGGGCUGUGGAAUCACCACCUGGGUGCCGGCUGGGUUCCAGGCCAGCCAAGCUGAGACAGGACAGGUCCUUGUAGCCCAGGCUGGUGCAUGGCUGAGUAGCUGGGUUAUUAGUUACACCAAAGACUUUCAGCUGGCCAGGCAGAAGGGCUCCAUACGCCGAAACCAACGCAGGAGGAAGAAGGUUCAUUGUUUUCCAGAUUAG
This 504-nucleotide long non-coding RNA is filed under the name Bos indicus x Bos taurus (hybrid cattle). Its description in RNAcentral is "lncRNA (ENSBIXG00000021323.1)". Lineage: Eukaryota; Metazoa; Chordata; Mammalia; Artiodactyla; Bovidae. The record is from RNAcentral.